This 82-nucleotide transfer RNA is filed under the name Apaloderma vittatum (bar-tailed trogon). It matches the Rfam family "tRNA". Rfam says of the family: Transfer RNA (tRNA) molecules are approximately 80 nucleotides in length. Their secondary structure includes four short double-helical elements and three loops (D, anti-codon, and T loops). Lineage: Eukaryota; Metazoa; Chordata; Aves; Trogoniformes; Trogonidae. The record is from Rfam by way of RNAcentral.
GGCCGAUUAGCUCAGUGAGUUGAGUGCGGUGCUGACAGCAAUGACUACACUGAGAUCGCGGGUUCAAUUCCUGCUUGGUCCU